GACAGAGGCCUCAAGCGUUAGGCGGAAUCACUGGGCUUAAAGCGUGUGUAGGCGGAUGCCUAAGUACCUUGUGAAAUCCCACGGCUCAACCGUGGAACGGCUGGGUAUACUGGGUGUCUUGGGCCAUUCAGGGGCGACUGGAACAAGCGGUGGAGCGGUGAAAUGCGUAGAUAUCGCUUGGAACGCCGAAGGUGAAAACAGGUCGCUGGGGAUGUGCCGACGCUGAGACACGAAAGCCAGGGGAGCAAACGGG
RNAcentral lists this ribosomal RNA (253 nucleotides) under uncultured bacterium. RNAcentral describes it as "partial 16S ribosomal RNA". It matches the Rfam family "Bacterial small subunit ribosomal RNA", at positions 524 to 776 of the family's 1533-position model. The record is from RNAcentral.